This 156-nucleotide ribosomal RNA is filed under the name Ascobolus carbonarius. Its description in RNAcentral is "5.8S ribosomal RNA". It matches the Rfam family "5.8S ribosomal RNA". Rfam says of the family: 5.8S ribosomal RNA (5.8S rRNA) is a component of the large subunit of the eukaryotic ribosome. It is transcribed by RNA polymerase I as part of the 45S precursor that also contains 18S and 28S rRNA. The record is from RNAcentral. Lineage: Eukaryota; Fungi; Ascomycota; Pezizomycetes; Pezizales; Ascobolaceae.
AAACUUUCANCAACGGAUCUCUAGGUUCUCGCAUCGAUGAAGAACGCAGCGAAAUGCGAUAAGUAGUGUGAAUUGCAGAUUUCAGUGAAUCAUCGAAUCUUUGAACGCACAUUGCGCCCUUUGGUAACCCUUGGGCAUGCCUGUUUGAGAGUCAAA